Molecule: non-coding RNA, 543 nt
Organism: Drosophila bipectinata
Lineage: Eukaryota; Metazoa; Arthropoda; Insecta; Diptera; Drosophilidae
Source: RefSeq, a predicted model, not a curated record
CAGUCGGCUCGAAAGUUAGUAAUAGCAAGAUUGGCUAUUAAGAGGGAAAUCUUUGCUCCGGCGCAGCAGAGGGGAAAGAAAUCGCCAAUUAUACAAUAGCCGCUUCUCGACGGCAAAAUCGAAGCCUAACAACGAAAACAAGCCAAUAGUAUAAGAAAAAAGUAUAUAGUAUAUAAUUUCAAGAGCCUAAUUAGUAGUGUCUAAUAGUGAACUGCGGUUUCAAAUCACACAAGUAUCUCACGGUCUUCCGUUUCUUUUUAAACCGGAACGUCAUCAACAUCAAACAACAGCAAAAACAACAAACAUCAACGAACAAGAUCCCAAAAAAAAAAAACUUCAGAGAACAAGAACAAGCAGACAGAGAGAGAGAGCUAGCGCGAGACAGAGGGCUAGAGGCGUCGGCUAACGGCUUAUCAUUUGACAAAAGCACGAGGAAGAAGAACAAGAAGAAGCAGACCAGAGGAGCGCUGAGUGCGCGAAAUACUCAAAAAAAAUAAUAACUGUACAUAAAUAAUAAAGGCUUGAGUGUUGCAAACUCAUAAA